CCUACGGGAGGCAGCAGUGAGGAAUAUUGGUCAAUGGGCGCGAGCCUGAACCAGCCAAGUAGCGUGAAGGAUGACUGCCCUAUGGGUUGUAAACUUCUUUUAUAAGGGAAUAAAGUGAGGGAUGUGUACCUCUUUGCAUGUACCUUAUGAAUAAGGAUCGGCUAACUCCGUGCCAGCAGCCGCGGUAAUACGGAGGAUCCGAGCGUUAUCCGGAUUUAUUGGGUUUAAAGGGAGCGUAGAUGGGUUGUUAAGUCAGUUGUGAAAGUUUGCGGCUCAACCGGAAAAUUGCAAUUGAUACUGGCAGUCUCGAGUACAGUAGAGGUAGGCGGAAUGCGUGGUGUAGCGGUGAAAUGCUUAGAUAUCACGAAGAACUCCGAUUGCGAAGGCAGCUUGCUGGACUGACACUGACGCUGAUGCUCGAAAGUGUGGGUAUCAAACAGGAUUAGAUACCCGUGUAGUC
RNAcentral lists this ribosomal RNA (460 nucleotides) under uncultured bacterium. RNAcentral describes it as "partial 16S ribosomal RNA". It matches the Rfam family "Bacterial small subunit ribosomal RNA", at positions 338 to 795 of the family's 1533-position model. The record is from RNAcentral.